GUAGUCAUAGCUCAGCUGGGAGAGCGCUACGCUGGCAGCGUAGAGGUCAGGGGUUCGAGCCCCCUUGGCUCCA
Molecule: transfer RNA, 73 nt
Filed under: Bacillus subtilis
Lineage: Bacteria; Bacillati; Bacillota; Bacilli; Caryophanales; Bacillaceae
Description: tRNA-Ala
Rfam family: tRNA
About the family: Transfer RNA (tRNA) molecules are approximately 80 nucleotides in length. Their secondary structure includes four short double-helical elements and three loops (D, anti-codon, and T loops).
Source: RNAcentral